RNAcentral lists this unclassified non-coding RNA (200 nucleotides) under Tomentella sp. RNAcentral describes it as "partial internal transcribed spacer 2". The record is from RNAcentral. Lineage: Eukaryota; Fungi; Basidiomycota; Agaricomycetes; Thelephorales; Thelephoraceae.
UUAAGUUCAGCGGGUAGUCCUACCUGAUUUGAGAUCAAACGUUCAAAAAGUUGUCCUCACAGAGGAGGGACAUUUGUGAGCUCCAGCGAACCUUCAUCACUGAAGGUUGACUGGUGGAAAACCACGAGCGCAGAUAGUUAUCACACUUGUGAUGCCACCAAACACUGGCAAGCUGAUUUGUUUGAGAGGAGCCGACCACA